GCAAAAACUGUAGCGAGAACUGAGGACCUGGCUGAUCUUUUCCCAACUCCUUAUUUCAGCGAGUAACUUCAGAAAAGGAAUUGUGGUCUGACAGCAGUGCAUCCAUAGGAGAAAAGUACACACAAACAUCGUGGCUGUGUAGCAGAAGAACAAAAGAGCUGAGAAUGCUGAUGAUGAAUGAUGAGAACAUGGACAUCAGAUGUGGUGAAAAAUG
Molecule: long non-coding RNA, 214 nt
Organism: Hirundo rustica (Barn swallow)
Lineage: Eukaryota; Metazoa; Chordata; Aves; Passeriformes; Hirundinidae
Exons: 3
Source: RefSeq, a predicted model, not a curated record